This 658-nucleotide ribosomal RNA is filed under the name uncultured Lachnospiraceae bacterium. RNAcentral's name for it is "bacterial SSU rRNA". It matches the Rfam family "Bacterial small subunit ribosomal RNA", at positions 43 to 699 of the family's 1533-position model. The record is from RNAcentral. Lineage: Bacteria; Bacillati; Bacillota; Clostridia; Lachnospirales; Lachnospiraceae.
CGUGCUUAACACAUGCAAGUCGAACGAAACACCUUAUUUGAUUUUCUUCGGAACUGAAGAUUUGGUGAUUGAGUGGCGGACGGGUGAGUAACGCGUGGGUAACCUGCCCUGUACAGGGGGAUAACAGUCAGAAAUGACUGCUAAUACCGCAUAAGACCACAGCACCGCAUGGUGCAGGGGUAAAAACUCCGGUGGUACAGGAUGGACCCGCGUCUGAUUAGCUGGUUGGUGAGGUAACGGCUCACCAAGGCGACGAUCAGUAGCCGGCUUGAGAGAGUGAACGGCCACAUUGGGACUGGGACACGGCCCAAACUCCUACGGGAGGCAGCAGUGGGGAAUAUUGCACAAUGGGGGAAACCCUGGUGCAGCGACGCCGCGUGAGUGAAGAAGUAUCUCGGUAUGUAAAGCUCUAUCAGCAGGGAAGAAAAUGACGGUACCUGACUAAGAAGCCCCGGCUAACUACGUGCCAGCAGCCGCGGUAAUACGUAGGGGGCAAGCGUUAUCCGGAAUUACUGGGUGUAAAGGGUGCGUAGGUGGUAUGGCAAGUCAGAAGUGAAAACCCAGGGCUUAACUCUGGGACUGCUUUUGAAACUGUCAGACUGGAGUGCAGGAGAGGUAAGCGGAAUUCCUAGUGUAGCGGUGAAAUGCGUAGAUAUUA